Myxocyprinus asiaticus (Chinese sucker) is the source of this 288-nucleotide long non-coding RNA. RefSeq lists it as uncharacterized. The record is from RefSeq and is a predicted model, not a curated record. NCBI's taxonomy places the organism in Eukaryota, Metazoa, Chordata, Actinopteri, Cypriniformes, Catostomidae. The transcript is spliced from 3 exons.
AUGGCCUCAUUUGUUUUGGUUUAGUAGGUGGGGAAGGUAGAGAUGCACUGAUACCUGUGUUUCCACUGCCAAUAGAGGGUCCUAAGCAUUACAGGAUGCCUUAGCAGAGCUGCCAAUUACCCCAUGUAUCAUAGUUGUGGAUGAAGGAAGAUACAAAAUAUCAGUGGACGAAGUCACGGUAAACCACAACAUCAGCUGUCCUCUGGUUACUGUCACCUAUAUGUUCAGCCUCUUCUAUGUGCUGAACAUCAUGUGCCCAAGGGAGCAGCCCUGACUCUGAAGUUUAUC